UACGUAGGUGACCAGCGUUGUCCGGAUUUACUGGGCGUAAAGAGCGCGCAGGCGGUCGUUCAAGUCGAGUGUGAAAGCCCCCGGCUCAACUGGGGAGGGUCACUCGAUACUGAUCGACUUGAAGGCAGGAGAGGGAAGCGGAAUUCCCGGUGUAGUGGUGAAAUGCGUAGAUAUCGGGAGGAACACCAGUGGCGAAGGCGGCUUCCUGGCCUGUUCUUGACGCUGAGGCGCGAAAGCUGGGGGAGCGAACGGG
Molecule: ribosomal RNA, 253 nt
Filed under: uncultured bacterium
Lineage: Bacteria
Description: partial 16S ribosomal RNA
Rfam family: Bacterial small subunit ribosomal RNA
Source: RNAcentral